RNAcentral lists this ribosomal RNA (253 nucleotides) under uncultured bacterium. Its description in RNAcentral is "partial 16S ribosomal RNA". It matches the Rfam family "Bacterial small subunit ribosomal RNA", at positions 524 to 776 of the family's 1533-position model. The record is from RNAcentral.
UACGUAGGGGGCCAGCGUUGUUCGGAAUUACUGGGUGUAAAGGGUUCGUAGGCGGCGCGGUAAGUCGGGUGUGAAAUCUUGGAGCUUAACUCCGAAACUGCAUUCGAUACUGCCGUGCUUGAGGACUGGAGAGGAGACUGGAAUUUACGGUGUAGCGGUGAAAUGCGUAGAUAUCGUAAGGAAGACCAGUGGCGAAGGCGGGUCUCUGGACAGUUCCUGACGCUGAAGCACGAAGGCCAGGGGAGCAAACGGG